This is a long non-coding RNA of Fundulus heteroclitus (mummichog), 1273 nucleotides long. RefSeq lists it as uncharacterized. Lineage: Eukaryota; Metazoa; Chordata; Actinopteri; Cyprinodontiformes; Fundulidae. The transcript is spliced from 4 exons. The record is from RefSeq and is a predicted model, not a curated record.
AACUGCAGCGAAUAAGUUACCCCAUUGCUACGUGUUUGACAUUUUUACUGAUAAAGUGGAACAGUUCGACUUCACUCUUCAGUCUUCGGUGCAGAAAACAGUCUUUCCAGGUUGUUGGAGGGUUAUUCUUGUCUCUGUGGGUUUAGGAGCACUUUUAAUAAUUGUUGUGUCAGUCAACAUUUGGACAAAAGUAAAAGAGAACAAUGGACAAAAAGUAAAACCCUCAUUGCAGAAUGAUGACGCUGAUGAACGUGAUUUGAAGUAUGAAAAUGUUGAAGAAUGUCCUGUUUCUGUCACUCUCCUCUCAUCAAUGGUGUCAAAGUGAAGGAAAGAGGAUUUUUGACUCUUGACUGGUUGUAAAUAAUUUCAGGUACAACCUUUUAGUCAGGGUGUCCUGGCCAACAUCAGAUAUAAAAAAUAACUAAACUAAUUAGUUAAUGUCAUUGUAGCUUUUGUGCAUCACCAACAGCCUUCUGUAGAUCAGUGUCUUCACUUAUCUUAGAACAUUAUUAUUACUAAUGCUGAGGCUGGCUCAGCUUGCCUGCAAGCUGAAUUCUAGCGGUAUUUGUGCAUUCACAAACACGAGAAUCCAUCGUGUACCGCUCCAGCUUCAACCGUGUGUGUCAAAAACACAAACGGUUCAGGCCAAUCGCAUUGCAGUAUUAUGAUUUAAGGCGGUACAUACAGGUGUGACGAAAGGAAGAGCUGACGAGCCCACAGCCGAACCAACAUAAACAUGUCAGCGCAGGAGGACGCAUGUGUGGCUGCUGCUAUAUCUGUUUUGUCAGAAUCCACUGAAUCUCUAAUUUUUAUUUUUAUGUUUUUUGCUGUUCGUCUUUCAUUUUUGAAAGAAGAAAAGCAAGAAGUACUUUGACUAGCUUAUCUUGCUGGGGUUUCUCAUGACAUCUGCUGCUUACAUUUUACAUUUGAUGCUUUGAUUGGCAAAAACCAACCUUUGGUAGGCGGGUACAAAGUGUUUUGGAGAGUUCUGCUGAAUGUCCCUUCUUUCCCCAAACAAAUUCAAUGGGAGCAGUCCCAGAUUGAUGAUGUGCGUGCAUGAGUGCUGCAUCUUAUUAAUCUGGCUGAGCAGGUUAGAGGCUGGCUGUAUACAAGGAAAGAAGUGUCUGAUGUUCAACGUCAUUGGAAUUAAUCAAACUAUUUUUAUCUUGUGUAUGUAUCGGGGCAGGUUUGCUUUUCUGUAUGUUAUCCUGAGAGAAGUUUUGCUUUGCACUGGAUCUAUGUAAAUGAAUUGAACUGAAAUUAAGUGACUGGA